GAAGGAUUAGCUCAGUGGUAGAGCGCCGCCGUCACCGAAUUUCCAAUCUCGAGCCCAGCCUUACACUAUGUAAGGACUCGAAGAGCGGUUUUACAAGGGACAAUGACGGGACAGCGAGAGUUCGAUCCUCUCAUCCUUCA
This is a non-coding RNA of Polyplosphaeria fusca, 140 nucleotides long. NCBI's taxonomy places the organism in Eukaryota, Fungi, Ascomycota, Dothideomycetes, Pleosporales, Tetraplosphaeriaceae. The record is from the annotation of a GenBank genome assembly.